AAAAAUGGCUCCUCUUCCUUCCUAGAGUGUGACCAUCUCUACCUGUGCGCCCACACGGCUGGCCUGAACAUGAGGCAGUGACUCCUGGCUGGAAGGGACCCCGAGGACAGCAAAUACCGAGAGGAGGCUCACCGCAAAGAAAGGGGAAGUACAAACUGUCCAAAUGGCUAGGAGGGGAGGACGUUGGUUCUGACACAGCCUGGGACCUACUCCUGACCCAGAUGUGUGCCUCGGAGGAUGGGUUUCAGGAAGCCUGGCUGAGGGUGAGCACAGGAGGCCGAGGCAGCUGGCUUGCUUGAGCCCAGGAGUUAGAGACCAGCUUGGGGCAACGUGGCAAGACCCCGUCUCUACAAAAAAAUUCAAAAAUUAGUCAGGCAUGGUGAUGCAUCUUUGCAAUCCCAGCUACUCAGGAGACUGAGGCAGGAGGGUCACCUGAGCCCAGGGAGGCCGAGGCUGCAAUGAGUUCUGAUCAUGCCAUUGCACUCCAGCCUGGGUGAGUUAGUGAAACCCUGUCUCAAAAAACAAAAAACAAAACCAAAAAAAACGCUGGAACCAGAG
Molecule: long non-coding RNA, 558 nt
Filed under: Pan troglodytes (chimpanzee)
Lineage: Eukaryota; Metazoa; Chordata; Mammalia; Primates; Hominidae
Description: lincRNA
Source: RNAcentral